AAAAACUCCGGUGGUGUAAGAUGGAUCCGCGUCUGAUUAGCUGGUUGGCGGGGUAGAAGCCCACCAAGGCGACGAUCAGUAGCCGGCCUGAGAGGGUGAACGGCCACAUUGGGACUGAGACACGGCCCAAACUCCUACGGGAGGCAGCAGUGGGGAAUAUUGCACAAUGGGGGAAACCCUGAUGCAGCAACGCCGCGUGAGUGAAGAAGUCAUUCGUGAUGUAAAGCUCUAUCAGCAGGGAAGAAAAUGACGGUACCUGAGUAAGAAGCCCCGGCUAACUACGUGCCAGCAGCCGCGGUAAUACGUAGGGGGCAAGCGUUAUCCGGAUUUACUGGGUGUAAAGGGAGCGUAGACGGCCAGACAAGUCUGAAGUGAAAAUCCAGCGCUUAACGUUGGAAGUGCUUUGGAAACUGCCGGGCUAGAGUGCAGGAGGGGCAGGCGGAAUUCCUAGUGUAGCGGUGAAAUGCGUAGAUAUUAGGAGGAACACCAGUGGCGAAGGCGGCCUGCUGGACUGCAACUGACGUUGAGGCUCGAAGGCGUGGGGAGCAAACAGGAUUAGAUACCCUGGUAGUCCACGCGGUAAACGAUGAUUACUAGGUGUCGGGGGGCUAGAGCCCUUCG
RNAcentral lists this ribosomal RNA (621 nucleotides) under uncultured bacterium. RNAcentral describes it as "bacterial SSU rRNA". It matches the Rfam family "Bacterial small subunit ribosomal RNA", at positions 202 to 842 of the family's 1533-position model. The record is from RNAcentral.